RNAcentral lists this ribosomal RNA (497 nucleotides) under uncultured bacterium. RNAcentral's name for it is "partial 16S ribosomal RNA". It matches the Rfam family "Bacterial small subunit ribosomal RNA", at positions 28 to 507 of the family's 1533-position model. The record is from RNAcentral.
GAUGAACGCUGGCGGCGUGCCUAAUACAUGCAAGUCGAGCGAACAGACGAGGAGCUUGCUCCUCUGACGUUAGCGGCGGACGGGUGAGUAACACGUGGAUAACCUACCUAUAAGACUGGGAUAACUUCGGGAAACCGGCGCUAAUACCGGAUAAUAUAUUGAACCGCAUGGUUCAAUAGUGAAAGACGGUUUUGCUGUCUCUUAUAGCUGGAUCCGCGCCGCAUUAGCUAGUUGGUAAGGUAACGGCUUACCAAGGCAACGAUGCGUAGCCGACCUGAGAGAGUGAUCGGCCACACGGGAGCUGAGACACGGUCCAGACUCCUACGGGAGGCAGCAGUAGGGAACCGUCCGCAAUGGGCGAAAGCCUGGCGGAGCAACGCCGCGUGAGUGAUGAAGGUCUUCGGAUCGUAAAACUCUGUUAUUGGGGAAGAACAAAUGUGUAAGUAACUAUGCACGGCUUGACGGUACCUGAUCAGAAAGCCACGGCUAACUACGUG